ACGUAGGGGGCAAGCGUUAUCCGGAUUUACUGGGUGUAAAGGGAGCGUAGACGGAUGGGCAAGUCUGAUGUGAAAGGCUGGGGCUCAACCCCGGGACUGCAUUGGAAACUGCCCGUCUUGAGUGCCGGAGAGGUAAGCGGAAUUCCUAGUGUAGCGGUGAAAUGCGUAGAUAUUAGGAGGAACACCAGUGGCGAAGGCGGCUUACUGGACGGUAACUGACGUUGAGGCUCGAAAGCGUGGGGAGCAAACAG
This 251-nucleotide ribosomal RNA is filed under the name uncultured bacterium. RNAcentral describes it as "partial 16S ribosomal RNA". It matches the Rfam family "Bacterial small subunit ribosomal RNA", at positions 525 to 775 of the family's 1533-position model. The record is from RNAcentral.